Molecule: ribosomal RNA, 253 nt
Filed under: uncultured bacterium
Lineage: Bacteria
Description: partial 16S ribosomal RNA
Rfam family: Bacterial small subunit ribosomal RNA
Source: RNAcentral
UACGGGGGGGGCAAGCGUUGUUCGGAAUUACUGGGCGUAAAGGGCUCGUAGGCGGCCAACUAAGUCCGACGUGAAAUCCCCAGGCUUAACCUGGGAACUGCGUCGGAUACUGGAUGGCUUGAAUUCGGGAGAGGGAUGCAGAAUUCCAGGUGUAGCGGUGAAAUGCGUAGAUAUCUGGAGGAACACCGGUGGCGAAGGCGGCAUCCUGGACCAAUAUUGACGCUGAGGAGCGAAAGCCAGGGGAGCAAACGGG